UACAGAGGUCUCAAGCGUUGUUCGGAUUCAUUGGGCGUAAAGGGUGCGUAGGCGGCGCGGUAAGUCGGGUGUGAAAUCUCGGGGCUUAACUCCGAAACUGCAUUCGAUACUGCCGUGCUUGAGGACUGGAGAGGAGACUGGAAUUUACGGUGUAGCGGUGAAAUGCGCAGAUAUCAGGAAGAACACCCGUGGCGAAGGCGGCUUCUGGGACGGUACUGACGCUGAGACGCGAAAGCGUGGGGAGCGAACAGG
Molecule: ribosomal RNA, 252 nt
Filed under: uncultured bacterium
Lineage: Bacteria
Description: partial 16S ribosomal RNA
Rfam family: Bacterial small subunit ribosomal RNA
Source: RNAcentral